This 1494-nucleotide long non-coding RNA is filed under the name Homo sapiens (human). Its description in RNAcentral is "non-protein coding LINC01612:4". The record is from RNAcentral. Lineage: Eukaryota; Metazoa; Chordata; Mammalia; Primates; Hominidae.
UGACACAGGCAGCACCCUUUUGCAGAAGUAGAUGUGCGUUGCUGAGAAAUUUUCUGCCUAAGUUCUGGUUUUCUUUGCAGCACCCAGCAUUUGUUUCUAACACAGGGAAAGAGUGAGCUGGAGAAACCUCUCAAAUUCAAGAAAGCGUAAAGCAAAUUGAACAAUACGGGUGAGGAGCACGGACUAUUCUCUCAUGUUGAAUGUGGCACUUUUUACAUACAAGCAGGAGAGCAACUACACCAAGAUUUUGGAAAACAUGUUAUGUAAGGUUAAUUGUGACCUCUAUGAUGGGGAUAUGAUAAAGAAGAAAAGUACCUCACAGCGAUGAUUGGCAUGUGAUCACUUAGCCAAUGAGAUAAGAGGCUGUAGAAACGAUGUGAUAAUGACAUCUCCUGAGUUGCAGGUCCAUAUUAGAAGUGGAUAUGAAGUAAACAUUGAGCUUUCCUCACAUUUAAUUAACAAGCUUUAUUAUAGAUACAGCUCAAAUUAGUUAAUUCAGGAAGCUUAUUUUGUAGAAAUUAAAACAUUAAUAAACACAUACAUUUAGAAAUAAAGAACUCGGCUGACCCUUUGACUCUUUGAAACAAGUGGCCUUCCAUGCUGUGAAAGAUUGUAGCCACUCUUUGAGACAUUGGAAUGGUGUCCAUUGCAUUUUAUCAAGUUAACUAUAGGUCAGCCUGGGAAAUCUGAAGUUUCCUUAUCUCCUGUCACUGUGGUUGCUGUGAGAUUUUGUGUCAUCACUGUGCUGUCUUCCCUCUCCACAUGAAGGUGAGCUGUCUGGCUUCACUCUAACGUUUGUGAUUUCACGCCCGACCUGAUUGUUGCCAAGCAAUUCCUUUGUUUGGAGAAUUCUGUGCUUUGUUUAGAAUUUUUUAAAGGUUCUUUUCCUGUGGUCAGAUUUCUGUUUGCUACUGUGUCUUAUGCCUUGUUCUCCUACAGAGAAGAUUCUUUGAAGUUAGUGGAAGCUCAGCUUAAAGGAAGAUCUACUGCUCUGUGUGGUGGAUGACCAUGGGGGAGCGAGAAGGCAGCCUCCGGCUUUUGUUUUGUGUGUGUGUGUGUGUGUGUGUGUGUGUGAUGUACCUGGAAAAAUAACACGACUAGGAUUAAAGAGUAUGUUUGGCAUGUUUAAAAUAAAUUGUAAACCAAACGUAUUUUAAAGAAUUUAUACAAAUUUGUCAUUUAGUAAAAUGAAUGACUAUUGAGUAUUCAUGUCAAUAAAACAACCACUUGAAUACAACAAAGCAUGCGUUGCGCAUGUUUCUCCCACUGUUUUUCUCCAUCUAUAACCUCCCUACUCAUCAGUUUGAGAUUUUUUAUAUGGAAUAAGUGUGGUUCUUGCAAGGAAAUUAUCUUUAGAAUAAGGAUAAAGUAUUUAAGAAUAUGUACUUAAAACUUAGCAAACCCAUUGGAAAAUGAUCCAGAAAAAUGGUAUUCAGAGAUAAAAAUCAGAAUGUGUUUGGGAGAAGAGCACUGACGAAGGUUGGUGUAUGUGGC